AUGGCCAAGCGCUUCCCAGGCGACGGCGCGGCGGCGAACGGCUUCGGCCGCCGCCAUCUUCAUGAAGACGAGGCUCGCCUCCUUUACGAGGCCGAGUACCCGGUCCCGCCGGACAUGCGGGUGCCCGGGGCGUGGAGGAUCAGCGCGGGCGGCAUGCCGGUGCCCCCGGUACCCACCGGCGCGGCGCGGCGUGCGGAGAUAGCACGCAUCCGCGGGAACCUGCCGCGUGCGGCGAGGGAGGGGCCACGGUACGUCCCCGACAGCCCGCUCUGGGACCCUUACUUCCGCCGCCGUCACGCCCAGCAGCUCGAGGCCACCAACGGCGUCGUGCCCUCCGGCAAGCUCAACGCCGCCGGCCGGCGUCGGUGGUGGGGCGUGCCCGGGCGCACGUUGGAGGCCGUCCUCGAGUACAUCGAGGGCGGCAACACGCUGCGCCUCGAGUACCCCGCUCCCCCUUCCUUCUCACGCCGCCGGGGAAGCUCCUGGACCCCGAGGCGCAUGGAGACCGGGGGGUCCUCCUCCUCGUCCGGCGGCUCGCCCUGCCUCCGCCCCGUCAAGCCGGAGCCCCAGGGCACGUCGGUCAGCGCGUGCACCCGUAGCUCCGGCGUCCGCAUCGGCGCCAACGCCUCUCCACCCACCGGCCGCUUCGUCCUCGUCGAGCCCAAGCCGGAGCCCGGCCUCCCCGCGGAGUACGAGGAGAUAGCCCGGCGCGGCUUCUCCGACGAGGACGCCAUGCGGUGGGCGCGGGACGACUACCUCCGCGAGGAGACGGUCCGGCAGCGCCAGGCCCUGGAGGAGAUCGCCGCCCGCAAGCGUGGGCGUGAGGACGAGCACGGCGUCGUGGUCCUCGACAGCGACGACGACGACGACGCCGCCCCCGGACCAUCCAACCCACCGCGCCAACCGGGGGAGGGAUGCAGCAGGGACGGCGGAGGCGGAGGCGGGGCCGGCGACGACGAUGACGACGACGGCGGUGACUACACGCGGUUCUACAGCCUCCUUGGCAUGUAG
This 1011-nucleotide ribosomal RNA is filed under the name Triticum aestivum (bread wheat). Its description in RNAcentral is "partial small subunit ribosomal RNA". Lineage: Eukaryota; Viridiplantae; Streptophyta; Magnoliopsida; Poales; Poaceae. The record is from RNAcentral.